AUGCAAGUCGAACGAAGUAGCAAUACUUAGUGGCAGACGGGUGAGUAAUAUGUAGGUAUCUUCCCAUUGGUGAGGAAUAACACGAGGAAACUUGUGCUAAUACCUCAUAAGUCUUUACGGAGAAAGCUUUAUGCGCCGAUGGAUGAGCCUGCACUUGAUUAGUUUGUUGGUAGGGUAAUGGCCUACCAAGACAAUGAUCAAUAGCUGAUUUGAGAGGAUGAUCAGCCACAUUGGGACUGAGACACGGCCCAAACUCCUACGGGAGGCAGCAGUAGGGAAUCUUGCACAAUGGGGGAAACCCUGAUGCAGCGAUGCCGCGUGAGUGAAGAAGGCCUUUGGGUUGUAAAGCUCUUUCGUCGGGGAAGAAAAUGACUGUACCCGAAUAAGAAGGUCCGGCUAACUUCGUGCCAGCAGCCGCGGUAAUACGAAGGGACCUAGCGUAGUUCGGAAUUACUGGGCUUAAAGAGUUCGUAGGUGGUUAAAAAAGUUGGUGGUGAAAUCCCAGAGCUUAACUCUGGAACUGCCAUCAAAACUUUUUAGCUAGAGUAUGAUAGAGGAAAGCAGAAUUUCUAGUGUAGAGGUGGAAUUCGUAGAUAUUAGAAAGAAUACCAAUUGCGAAGGCAGCUUUCUGGAUCAUUACUGACACUGAGGAGCGAAAGCAUGGGUAGCGAAGAGGAUUAGAUACCCUCGUAGUCCAUGCCGUAAACGAUGUGUGUUAGACGUUG
RNAcentral lists this ribosomal RNA (725 nucleotides) under uncultured marine bacterium. Its description in RNAcentral is "bacterial SSU rRNA". It matches the Rfam family "Bacterial small subunit ribosomal RNA", at positions 55 to 825 of the family's 1533-position model. The record is from RNAcentral.